RNAcentral lists this ribosomal RNA (521 nucleotides) under uncultured bacterium. Its description in RNAcentral is "bacterial SSU rRNA". It matches the Rfam family "Bacterial small subunit ribosomal RNA", at positions 32 to 524 of the family's 1533-position model. The record is from RNAcentral.
AAUCAACGCUGGCGGCGUGCCUCAGACAUGCAAGUCGAACGCGAAAGGCCCCUUCGGGGGCCGAGUAGAGUGGCGUCCGGGUGAGUAACACGUGGGUAAUCUACCUUCGGGUGGGGAAUAACGACCGGAAACGGUCGCUAAUACCGCAUAAUGCAGCGGCACCUAAUGGUGACAGUUGUUAAAGCGGGGGAGUCGCAAGACCUCGCGCCUGAAGAGGAGCCCGCGGCGGAUUAGCUAGUUGGCAGGGUAACGGCCUACCAAGGCGACGAUCCGUAGCCGGCCUGAGAGGGCGGGUCGGCCACACUGGCACUGACACACGGGCCAGACUCCUACGGGAGGCAGCAGUCGGGAAUUUUGGGCAAUGGGCGAAAGCCUGACCCAGCAACGCCGCGUGAAGGAUGAAACUUUUCGGAGUGUAAACUUCAUAAGAAAUGGGACGAAUAAGGGAGGGGUUAACACCCCCUUUGAUGACGGUACCAUUUGUAAGCUCCGGCUAACUCCGUGCCAGCCGCCGCUGUAAG